CCUACGGGUGGCAGCAGUAAGGAAUAUUGCUCAAUGGGCGGAAGCCUGAAGCAGCCACGCCGCGUGGAGGAUGAAGGUUCUCCGAUUCUUAAAUCUUUUUGUUAGAGGAGAUAAUGUCGGUAUCUAACGAAUAAGCAACGGCUCCCUCCGGCCCAGCAGCCGCUGUAAUCCGGAGGGUGCACGCGUUACUCGGAAUCACUGGAGGUAAAGGGCGCGUAGGCGGGUUAUCAAGUCAGAUGUGAAAUCGUAGGGCUUAAACCUCAAACUGCCUUUGAAACUGUUAGUCUAGAGUAUGGGAGAGGUAGGUGGAAUGCGUGGUGUAGGGGUAAAAUGCGUAGAGAUCAAGAGGAAUACUGAUUGCGAAGGCGA
RNAcentral lists this ribosomal RNA (369 nucleotides) under uncultured bacterium. RNAcentral's name for it is "partial 16S ribosomal RNA". It matches the Rfam family "Bacterial small subunit ribosomal RNA", at positions 338 to 724 of the family's 1533-position model. The record is from RNAcentral.